GGCUGAGCGUUGUGCGCGGCGGCCGUAGGCGAACGCGGCACGGGGCACUCUCGGCGGCAUCGCCAUUGGCCGCCGGGGGGAUCCAAGCCGGAGCGCGCGGCGCCCUCCGCCGUCCACAGGCACAGGUGGCACAUAUAUUGCAAGAAGAUUUUCAUUGGGUUCCCUGCAAGUGCACACAACCGAUGGAUUUAUCAUUUUGCUGGUUUCUUGGAGAUGCACUAAGCUCUAUGAAGUACAAAAAGUCAGCUGACAAAUGAACAUCACUUUACCUGGUACAUAUCAGAUGGGCGUUGCAGGUAAACCAUAUCUUGCAUGAUGGGGAUGCGGUCUCCAUCAGCUUGAGGGCUAUCUUGGAAUUUGGUUCUUUCAUCUCCCUACAGGUUAUAAUACCAUAAGAGCAUACUCAUCUAGGUUCUUCUCCGCCUCUUCCCGCGCCAACUUCAGGUACUCGCUGAUCUCUUCAGGCUUCAUGCUGAGCUGUGGACAUGAGCUACCACGAUCUUGGACCCGCGCGCCGCCAGGUUCUGCAGCGCCCAGAGGAAGGUGCUCCUGCCGUGCUCGACGUCCGCUUCGACGGCCACGAACAC
This is a long non-coding RNA of Oryza brachyantha (malo sina), 587 nucleotides long. RefSeq lists it as uncharacterized. The record is from RefSeq and is a predicted model, not a curated record. The transcript is spliced from 5 exons. Lineage: Eukaryota; Viridiplantae; Streptophyta; Magnoliopsida; Poales; Poaceae.